This 235-nucleotide long non-coding RNA is filed under the name Elaeis guineensis (African oil palm). RNAcentral describes it as "long non-coding RNA (EGUI_LNC053259)". The record is from RNAcentral. Lineage: Eukaryota; Viridiplantae; Streptophyta; Magnoliopsida; Arecales; Arecaceae.
GGGUGCCGAAGGACUCAUUCAACAAUUGAAUCAUCUCCUUAGAUUGUGCAUCCUCAAACUUAUGGCUAAGUUCAUCAUUUAUGGCUACCCUCAUGAUGCAACGCACCAUAGUGUGAUCACUGAGCCACUUCAUAUAAGUAUCUUUCGCAGCACGGGGUGCAUUGGCAGCAGGUUCUUUGGGUGCGAGAUCUGUAAGCACGUAUAAGAUCCUUUCGUGCUUCAGGAUGAUCUUAAG